CGUGUGAGUGAUGUAAACACGUCCUUAGGUCGGUCUGUAUUUGACCGUUUUGGUCAAAACGUUUGGACUGUCCAAUGUUAGGAUUCGUCAUAGUUACACUGACACAUG
Molecule: small nucleolar RNA, 108 nt
Organism: Ictalurus punctatus (channel catfish)
Lineage: Eukaryota; Metazoa; Chordata; Actinopteri; Siluriformes; Ictaluridae
Gene: SNORD46
Product: Small nucleolar RNA SNORD46
Source: Ensembl